UAAAAAUUUAAUUUAUAAUAUUUAAGUAGUAUUAGUUAAGAUCUUUAAAUUUAAAAAAUUUGGCGGUAUUUUAGUCUAUUCAGAGGAACCUGUUUUGUAAUCGAUAGUCCACGUUGUAUCUUACUUAAAUUUGUUUUUAUAGUUUAUAUAUCGUUGUUUAUAAAUAUUUUUAAAAAAUAAUAAUAUUUUAAAUUUUAAAUUAAAAAUUAUAUCAGAUCAAGAUGUAGUUUAUGUUUAAGUUUAUAAUGGGUUACAUUUAUUUUAUUAUUGGAUAUAGAUUUGUAAUUAUUUAUUGAAAUUGGAUUUGAUAGUAAAUUUAUAUAGAUAGAUAAGUUGAUUUUAGCUCUAAAAUAUG
RNAcentral lists this ribosomal RNA (355 nucleotides) under Eudorylas sp. CNC Diptera 21523. RNAcentral's name for it is "partial 12S ribosomal RNA". The record is from RNAcentral. Lineage: Eukaryota; Metazoa; Arthropoda; Insecta; Diptera; Pipunculidae.